This is a non-coding RNA of Solanum lycopersicum (tomato), 3422 nucleotides long. NCBI's taxonomy places the organism in Eukaryota, Viridiplantae, Streptophyta, Magnoliopsida, Solanales, Solanaceae. The record is from RefSeq and is a predicted model, not a curated record.
CAUUUUUUUUCUAUGCUUCAUAUGUUGUUCUGGUUUAUUUAUUGCUCAUUGUUGGUAGUACUUGGUAUUAAUUGCCAUGAUUUCUCUAUAUUUUUAUUAUAGGGGGAUUAAGAUUGAUGCCCUAAAUUCUACCAUACUUGGUGUUCUUUGCUCACGAGGUUCAAUCUAGAAAAAUAGAUAUUUUACUUUUUGAAAUUUUAUUUUUCCUUAGACAUAGGGUUUUGUUGCUUCUGCAUCAUUAAGCAGGUGGGUCUUUUGCUUUCAAUGUCCUUUUAUCAUCUUUAUCAUAAUUUUUCCCCAUUAUAUGGAUUAUGAGAGUGAUCAGAUCUUGCAAAGAAAAAAUUGGUGACUUAAAGGUUUACAGGUUCAAAAUUGCUAUCAUUUUGUCUUAUGGUUAAAAGGGACAAAUGUUUCCAACAAUUGCCAGUUAAAUAAGUAAAAAGAAUGGCACCUUCAAGUAUAAUUGAAGAAGAAAUAGACGAAGCAAUUAUAAAACAAAACAUGUAAAAAUCAAUCACUACAAGAAAAUGUAAUCAAUUACUAAAGAAAUGCUUAAAGCUUGUGGGAUAUUACUUCUUGUUCAUUAAUAUAUAGAUACCUGGAGUAGGAUUUAAUAUCAAUGCUUUAAAUAUUAUAUGAGAGACAUUUAUAUAUAGGUACUUGAGUCUUCUGUUUGUAAAUUACUUUUCUCGACGAGAUUUUGUAAGGAAUGAAUCGUUAGAUUGGGCUGAUGUUCUCAAAGGAUGGUGCUUUUAGCUAUUGUGAUAUUAUGUUAGCUCUUCUAUUCAUUAUGUUUAGAAUCACAUUUAGCUUCUACGAUAUUAUGUUAGCUGUUCGAUUGAUUACAAUUCAGAACUGCUUUUAGCUAUUGCGGUAUUUGGUUAGCGCUUCUAUUCAUUAGUUUGCGAUAACUAUAAAUUGAACGCAAUACUUUUAGCUUCUAAGAUGUGACCUGCAAUUGCAAAGUUACUACCCAUUUUUGUUUUCUUUCCCCUCAGCUUCAAAAUCUAUUGUUCAACUCCAAAUUUAAAGACAUGUAUACAACCUAGGAGAAUAGGAAGCAAACUUAUUAGUUUGAUGAGCCAAAGGGAUUAAAAUACCCUUAUUUUUCAAUUUAAUGACAAAGAGCAGACAUACUAAAUUAUUUAAAUGUGUUCUGUGGCUUUAUCUUCAACCUCCUUCAUCUCUGUAAUUGGUCUGUGUAUUUUUUUCCCAUACAAAUGCUACUAUAUCUACUCAACAUUUUUUAUCUUAUAUUUUUCUAAUGCUAACUUCGUGCCUUGUUUACCUCAUGUAACAGGGACCAAUGUUCUUGUCGAAGAUAAAACGAAAAGACACCCUAACUAACCUUCAGCUUAAUAAAUUGUUGUUAAUAUCUAAAUAGAAUGUACAUAGCUAUCUAGUAACUCUCUGAAUCCAAAUUUAAACACAUUGUUUAUUUUUCACUAACUUUAGUAUUAUUGUUUUUCAAAUAAACACACCUCUAGUAUUAUUCAUAUGAGCAUAACUCUUUACUUUCUCCUUGCAGUCUAUAGUAUAGUUCGUAUACUAACAACACCUUUUGCAUUUUAGUGCAAGAAUUGCAGUGAAGGUCAAAAUAGUGGAGAAAGCUUGAAAUGAAAAAUCCUUUGCUCACACCCUAUAAAAUGGGUAACUUUCAACUUUCUCAUAGAGUUGUGUUGGCACCAUUAACAAGGACAAGAUCAUAUGGCAAUGUUCCUCAACCACAUGCUAUCCUCUAUUACUCGCAACGAACCACAAUAGGCAGUUUUCUUAUUUCAGAAGCUACAGGAGUUUCUGACACUGCCUAUGGGUACAAAGAUACACCUGGUAUAUGGAGGAAAGAUCAAAUUGAGGCCUGGAAACCAAUUGUAAGUGCUGUCCAUGACAAAGGAGGAAUCUUUUUUUGCCAACUUUGGCAUACAGGGAGGAUAUCUACCAAAGAUUUCCAGCCCAAUGGACAAGUUCCUAUCUCCAGCACAGACAAGCCAGUGAAAACUCACACUCCACCACGACGGCUGAGCACAAACGAAAUUCCUCAAAUUGUUAAUGAUUUCCGGAUUGCUGCUAGAAAUGCCAUUGAAGCUGGAUUUGAUGGGGUUGAGAUCCAUGGAGCUCAUGGCUAUCUAAUUGACCAGUUUAUGAAAGACCAAGUCAAUGAUCGAACUGACCAAUAUGGAGGGUCCUUAGAGAACCGUUGUAGAUUUGCACUCGAAAUAGUUGAAGCAGUUGUAAAUGAGAUAGGAGCUGACAGAGUUGGAAUAAGGCUUUCCCCAUAUGCUAACUACAUGGAUUCUGGAGACUCAAAUCCAAGUGCUUUGGGACUUUACAUGGCUGAAUCCUUGAAUAAAUAUAGCAUUGCAUAUUGCCACAUGGUUGAGCCAAGAAUGAAAACACUUGGGGAAAAAGUUGAAUGUCCUGAAAGCCUUGUACCCAUGAGGAAGGCAUUUAGAGGUACUUUUAUUGUAGCUGGUGGUUACGAUAGAGAAGAUGGAAACAAAGUUGUGGAUGAAGGCCGAGCUGAUCUUGUUGCAUAUGGACGUUUGUUUAUAGCCAAUCCGGAUUUACCCAAGAGAUUUGAGCUUGAUGCACCUCUCAACAAGGGACUGAAGAAGCAAAGAGAAAUGGCAGCUGCAGCUAAGAAGGAAGAGAAGAAGACGUAUAACUAGCCUGCCGAGUAUGACACGCCUUUAAGUAUGCUGACAAUAUUGUGAAGAUUGAAAAGGAUGGUUAUCAUGGUGGAGGAAUAUCAAUGCUGCAAUGGUGACCUGGACAGAAUUGGAGCCCGAGUACUUGACCAAUUCUUCUGAAGAACGAACUUCUCAUAGUGUGUUAGGAGAAAAAAACCCACAACAUAUUAUGGUUGAUCUAACCUUGGGGUUGUUGUUACAACAAACUAUGGGGGUUCCUAACCCCCCCCCCCCCCCCCAUAGUAUGUAAAAAUAAAUCCCGGCUAUUUAGGCUUUUUUGUGAUGGAGUUCUGUGCUAUCUAUCUUAUUGGAGCAUUUGCUAAAUCUGCACCCUUCUCUCCUCUACUACAAGCAUCAGCUAAAAUUUGUUGAAUCUGUAAUAUGCUUACUAGAUAUCUAGUGAUACACGAUUAUUUUGAUUGACAUCUCGUCCAACAAGGCCUACUGUGUGUUUCUCAUGUUUCUUCUUGAGAUCCGCUGGUUGAUCUUUUUCUCACCAAGCCGCUUCUAAAAGCUCCAUUUCGAAGCACUAAGGUCCAAGAUUGGUAUGUCAGACUGAUCUUCCAUCUUAAGGGGUAUAUUAGUGAUAUCUCUUGAUUGAUAUCUCAUUAGCUUUCCUUUGUUUAACAGUAUUUACCAGAAAAUAUAUAUAUAUGUAAUUGUAGAAGGGUAGAUCUAUGUUUUAAGGCUUAAAAAUUUAAUUGUGUUUGGAUUGGAUCUCUUUAUCUUUAA